GCCGGGCAUGGUGGUGCAUGCCUGUAAUCCCAACAGCUCAGGAGGCUGAGAUGGGGGAAUCUCCAGUUCAAGGCCAGCCUCAGCAAUUUACUGAGGCCCUAAGCAACUCAGUGAGACCCUGUCUCUA
RNAcentral lists this small RNA (127 nucleotides) under Marmota monax (woodchuck). The record is from RNAcentral. Lineage: Eukaryota; Metazoa; Chordata; Mammalia; Rodentia; Sciuridae.